This 85-nucleotide transfer RNA is filed under the name Felis catus (domestic cat). It matches the Rfam family "tRNA". From Rfam's summary of the family: Transfer RNA (tRNA) molecules are approximately 80 nucleotides in length. The record is from Rfam by way of RNAcentral. Lineage: Eukaryota; Metazoa; Chordata; Mammalia; Carnivora; Felidae.
GCCUGGAUGGCUCUGUCGGUUGAGCAUCUGACUUCGGCUCAGGUCAUUGUCUUGUGGUUCGUGGGUUUGAGCCCCGCAUCGGGCU